This is a long non-coding RNA of Oncorhynchus tshawytscha (Chinook salmon), 1013 nucleotides long. The record is from Ensembl. Lineage: Eukaryota; Metazoa; Chordata; Actinopteri; Salmoniformes; Salmonidae.
GUGUGUGUGUGUGUGUGUGUGUGUGUGUGUGUGUGUGUGUGGUAUCGUGGUGUGAAAAAUAAUUGUUACUUUUUUUGCAAUUUAAAAACGAUUAAAAGUUGCCGGGGACAACAUUUCCCUGGACCCUAGGCUACUGAAAAUGUUCCCGGACCCUAGGCUACUGAAAAUGUUCCCGGACCCUAGGCUACUGAAAAUGUUCCCGGACCCUAGGCUACUGAAAAUGUUCCCAGACCCUAGGCUACUGAAAAUGUUCCCAGACCCUAGGCUACUGAAAAUGUUCCCAGACCCUAGGCUACUGAAAAUGUUCCCAGACCCUAGGCUACUGAAAAUGUUCCCAGACCCUAGGCUACUGAAAAUGUUCCCAGACCCUCGGCUACUGAAAAGGUUCCCAGACCCUAGGCUACUGAAAAUGUUCCCAGACCCUAGGCUACUGAAAAGGCUACUGAAAAUGUUCCCAGACCCUCGGCUACUGAAAAUGUUCCCUGACCCUAGGCUACUGAAAAUGUUCCCCGGACCCUAGGCUACUGAAAAUGUUCCCCGGACCCUCCGAUUUACAAAUUAAUCAGUGUGUGUGUGUGUGUGUGUGUGUGUGUGUGUGUGUGUGUGUGUGUGUGUGUGUGUGUGUGUGUGUGUGUGUGUGUGUGUUUGGGCAGAUUAGAAGUGUUGGGUCCUUCCUGGUAUGAAAAAGGGUGAAAGGUCACAAACCCCGGUUUGGGCAGAAUAGAAGUGUUGGUUCCUUCCUGCUAUGAAAAAGGGUGAAAGGUCACGAACCCGGGUUUGGGCAGAAUAGAAGCGUUGGUUUCUAUUAUUGAUGUUACUAUGUGGACCGGACUGGGUCUGUGUUUUUUAUUUUAUUUACCACAACUAGAACCCGUGGAACCGUCUAGACGUGUUGUUUCCUUGUGAUGAGAUUGCUGUGGAACAGGAUUAUUAUUAUUAUUGUUAUUGUUAUUAUUAUUAUGCAUCUGAUCAUCUAUUACUCUAAAUGACGACGAGCAAUAAAGUUGAGAUCC